CACGCACGCACGCACGCACACACACACACACACACACACACACACACACGCAUGCACACACCUCGCAUUGCAGGAACCUCACCGUGCUGUUUGCUCUCCCUUCUUCUGCUCUUCUUUUUGUUGUUGCUGCUUUGCUUGUCGCUGGUGACGGGUGGCGUCUGAUGCGUUUAUCUUCUCACCAGAGCCCCGCGUGACUGCUUUCUCCUCCUCCCCCGACUCCUCCGAGACUUCCCUCUACGAAAGCUUCGCAGCUGCUACGGCCACAAAGCCGACCCAAAAACCAACCGACACGAUUUGCAUUCUCUCUAUACACACACUAACGCAGAGCGUAGGCUUGCGGGCCCAGCGCAGCACUUGCGGCAGACGCGAGCACACCAGCACAAUCCCCAUUCAGGACUAGGCGGUUUCCCGCUCACGUGUAUGCAGCACGUACCACCGUUAGAGCCCUUCCCUUCCCUCAGGAGCACGAUAUUAGCUAACCAUACAUCAAAACGCGUACGCCCUCGCCAAGCAGAUGACGGCAACGCCGGCGCCGCGAGUCUUUCUGGCCUCUUGGCUGGAGAAGAAGAUGGAGUGGCGCUUCGUCUAUGAACACCGCUACUUCAUUCUUGAUGGUACUCGUCUCAGCUACCGCCUCGAGGAGCACGGCGCCGAGAAGAAGUUUGGCACCAUCAUCUCCUUUGACCCGUGGCGCGAGGGCUUGAGGGACGACACCUCUAAGGGAUAUUGCUUCACGGUGUGGCUGCUCGAGGGUGGCUCCUGGGAACUGCGAGCAGCGACGCGGGAGAUCUACGACAGCUGGCUGCAUGCACUUCUCACAGUGCUCGUACCCUCCGACUCCACCUCUGCAGUGCAGAGCGAGAGUGGCGGUAUGCCUAGCUCACGCGAAGCCUCCGUAACCGCAGACGUCGCUGCGACGCCCGGCGGACCAUCUUCCGGGCACCUCGAAAGUGAGAGUCUGGGCUGUUCUCGCAAGGCAGGCGCGGUAGGCGAGCGCGGCGACACCAUAAACAGUGCUAGUCCAACGCAAGCGGAGCCCGCCGACGCUUCGCGCAAAACGCCGGGCGCGAGCCCAGUAGCAGAAGGGGCCACCCUCACCGCGGCGUCCAUCGCUGCGGCCAUGAAUGCAAGCAACACCGUCUCCGUCUCCAACGAUGUGCUGCUGUCCUCCAUGGUGGAGAAGGAGACGGCCUGGCGAGGCCGUUGGAAGCCGCGCUACAUGGAGCUGCUUGAGGGGCGCCACCUUGUUAUUCGGUCCUCUGCCACAUCCAAGACGGAGCGACAACACUAUGUCAUUGAGGCGGUGGACCCUUCACCACUUGUAGGCCAAGAGGUAUGGUUGCUCUUCACCGCAAGCAACGGCGACCGCUUCUGGGUUCGCUACGGCUCUGUGGAGGAGUGCCAGCGCUGGUACACGGUCUGCCGGCGGCUGCUUCACGCGGAGUGCUCAUGGCACUGGCUGCCGCUCGCCGAGAACGACGCUGGCCGCUCGCUGCGGCUGCGGCAAGCCACAAGCGGCGAUUACAGCGACCUGCAGUUGCACUACCACUCAGCUACAGUGGUGCCGUCUUUUCAAAAAGGAACGUGGUGCCCGUCGCUGUACAUCUUCGGGGGCUCGGACCGGUGGUGCAAGCAGCUGUUCAACCCUCAGGCACGCGCCUUUCUCCCGCACGCCGAAUCCGCGCACACGACAAAUCAGCUGUGUACGCUGGAGCUGACAGGCCCGCACGUGAUGCAGCUGUGGAAGCCUGCACCGUACGAGGAGGGCCCGCACGCGUUGGUGCGCCCGCUUUCCCGCUACGGCGCGACAUUGACGUGCAUUCCUGUGGAGGUGCCGCCAUCGUCCGCGCGAAACGACUCGCCGCAGCAGACGAUCGGGGCACGCGUCGUACUGUUUGGCGGGCUGUCGGGUGGCGGAUAUCAGCCGCCCGCCACGGAGCUCUGGAGCGUGUGGCGCAGCGCGGCGGCGUGCGCCGAAGACGUCGAGAUGCAGUGGAACAGGCACGAUCUGCCCCCGUACGAGCUCCCGAUGCUGGCCUUUCACGACGCCGUGUGCGUCCCGUGGAGGUGUGCGGCUGCAAAGAGCAGCUCAGACCCUCACAAGCGGCACCACACCGAUGGCGGGUUUCUUCUCGUGACAGGUGGCCUCGAUGUGGAGUAUCGCUGCAGGGCCGAGUGCUACGCGGUGGUGUGGAACGAUGCGGACCUCACCGAGGCGGAUGAGCAGCUUCGCCCAACCGACUCGGCGACCAAGGAUAAUCUCGAGGAGAGAGCGCGCCUGGCAAAGCCGGUGGCGUUUGCCUUUGGCCAGCUGCCAGAGCCGCGCGCGUUUCACCGCAUGGCGGUCAUCGAGGACGGCACGGUGGUUCUUGUUGGCGGCAGAGGCGUGGAGAACGCCGCGGUGGAUCAUCCUGUCCUGACGCUGGCACCGGAGGUGUGGCGUCGCGCAUCUAAGGCGUGGAGAGACGUCGCGACCGCUGCCACAGCACCGCCUGAGAGCGACGUCAACGGAACCGAGCCGAGGAGCGAGAAUCAAUGCCGGCGGACGAGUGGCGAGGACGAGGCCGAUGCAGGCGCGACCGAUGACGCGGAUGCUUCGUCUUCGCAGUGGCUGGCAGCAUCGUUCGACUGCUCUACGACCCCCACGUUGUCCACGGCGCUCCGCGCAGUCGCCGCACUACCGAACGAGAUGGGUGAUGUGGCCGUCGCUGCCACCGAGCACGGCAAUCGCGUGGUGGUUAUGGGGCAAGUCUCGCAGCCACGCCAGGAUGUGAAGCUGUACUUGCUGGACUUGGAGCCUGUCGUGGCACCCACUUCAAAUGGCCGUCGCCGCGGAUCGCGCGGCAUCAGUGCAGGGCAGCAGCUCCCCGCUGGCACGAGACGUGCUCGGUGUCAGGAGGUGGUGCUCUUCGUCGGCGCCGUGCCGAAUCGCGUGGUGGGUAUCACCCUGCACGUGUAUAACGACUAUCUGUUCGUGAUUGGCGGCUGCAUGGUUGACAAGUCCAAGUCGGAGCCGUACAAGUUGUGCGGGCCCCUGCGUAUCCUGCUUGAAUGAGAGCGCUGCCCCCUCCUCCUUCCUACUUCUGUCCCUUCCUCUCCAAGUCUGGAAGUCACGCCUGAUGGACGACUGAUGAGUACGGCAUGGGGUGGUGGUGGUGGUGGGCGGCGCCUUUUCCUUUUGUUUUUGUUUCGUUGUCUGUGCUUGAGCAUCUGUACCUGUGGACUCGGUAAUGAUGGCGCUCUCUUUCUCUCGCGUAGCUCUCGGUGUAUGCGGGCGCUUCGAACGAAACACCUUUGCCACACGUUCACUGCUGCGCGUGUGCGCAUGCGUCUUCUCUUCGUUUUUUUUUUCUUCGUUGUUGUUUUGGUUUGCUUGCAGAAAUCGAUGACGCGUUCACGGCCACCAAAGGGGAUUCCACUCGUGCCCCACCCCCUUUUUUCCGCCUCUCUUCUCUAUUCUGUUGCUGUGUUCUCCUCGUGCUCUCUUCUUGCUUUCAUGUUCUCCAUCCACCAAGCACGGGUAGCCGAGGAGAAUGGCGAUGAUGAUGGCGUCUAUCGCGUAUGUAAAAAGGGCUACCGGCGGUCUAUCACAUCGGCUCUUUCAAGAGCUGCGCACACGCAAGCGAACAGGCAGCCGGCACAGGCUUCCGCACACCGUCUCUAACCCCCUCCCCCUCCCCUCUCCUCCUCCGCUUCCCGCAUUCCCACGAAGCGCUGACAGCACAUCUCUCACUCCUUCACGCUCCGCGCGUGGGCGUCUCGCUUGUGCUUUGCUUUUGUUUUGCUCGAUUUUGGCGUUCGGGGCUGCGCCGUGUCAUUUGCUGUAACGGGCGGGACGGGGCGACGUGAGGGAAGCGGGCUCAGUGUCUCACCGUGAUGCGCGAGGAGGCAAAAAGCGAAGAAGGAACAAGCCAACGGCAGCUCUGCAGCCUGUUUUUGCACCACCGGAUACAUUCUGUUCUGGUCUGUGUGUCUGGCAGACGCAUGAAGACCACAUGCACCGCAGCAUCGCAUCCCCACUCGCGGCACUGGAGCGUGUCUGAAGGACGCUAUCCUUGACAGGCUUUGCUGCGGUUCGGCAGCCAUGUCACUUCUCGCGCACUCGUCUUGUUUUUCCUUUCACCUCUGCCCCUUUUAUUCAUUCCUCGAG
This 4150-nucleotide unclassified non-coding RNA is filed under the name Leishmania donovani. RNAcentral describes it as "gene:LdHU3.30.2080(CDS-product:hypothetical_prote in_conserved)". The record is from RNAcentral. Lineage: Eukaryota; Euglenozoa; Kinetoplastea; Trypanosomatida; Trypanosomatidae.